GUGAGAGGGAGAGCUCAAAUUUGAAAGCUGGUACCUUCGGUAUCCGCGUUGUAACCUCGAGACACGUUUUCCGUGCGGCGCUAUGGACAAGUUCCUUGGAACAGGACAUCGUAGAGGGUGAAAAUCCCGUACUUGCCAUGGAUGUACCGUGCUUUGCGAUACGUGCUCUAAGAGUCGAGUUGUUUGGGAUUGCAGCUCAAAAUGGGUGGUAGACUCCAUCUAAAGCUAAAUAUCGGGGAGAGACCGAUAGCGAACAAGUACCGUGAGGGAAAGAUGAAAAGCACUUUGGAAAGAGAGUUAAAAGUACGUGAAAUUGUCGAAAGGGAAGCGCUUGAAGUCAGCCAUGCCGCUCAGGACUCAGCCUGGCUUUUGCUUGGUGUAUUUCCUGGGUAGCAAGUCAGCAUUGGUUUGGAUCGUCGGAGAAGCAUAGUCGGAAUGUGGCGCCCUCGGGCGUGUUAUAGCCUUCUAUUGGAUACGACGAUCUAGACCAAGGAACGCAGCGCGCCUUAUGG
Molecule: ribosomal RNA, 512 nt
Filed under: Malassezia furfur
Lineage: Eukaryota; Fungi; Basidiomycota; Malasseziomycetes; Malasseziales; Malasseziaceae
Description: eukaryotic LSU rRNA
Rfam family: Eukaryotic large subunit ribosomal RNA
Source: RNAcentral